RNAcentral lists this ribosomal RNA (1462 nucleotides) under Stenopoda sp. UCR ENT 00004061. RNAcentral describes it as "partial large subunit ribosomal RNA". It matches the Rfam family "Eukaryotic large subunit ribosomal RNA", at positions 660 to 2590 of the family's 3401-position model. The record is from RNAcentral. Lineage: Eukaryota; Metazoa; Arthropoda; Insecta; Hemiptera; Reduviidae.
CACGGACCAAGGAGUUUAUCGUGUACGCAAGUCAUUGGGCGUUUAAAACCCAAAGGCGAAAUGAAAGCUCUCUUAAGGGAAGAUGGAAAUAUCGCAUAUAUUUAUAUGUGUGAAAAUAUUUCUCGCACUCCCAGGGCGCUUGUAUCUCGCUUAGCGAAUCAGUGCGCACCUAGAGCGUACACGAUGAUACCCGAAAGAUGGUGAACUAUGCCUGGCCAGGACGAAGCCAGGGGAAACCCUGGUGGAGGUCCGCAGCGAUUCUGACGUGCAAAUCGAUCGUCGGAGCUGGGUAUAGGGGCGAAAGACCAAUCGAACCAUCUAGUAGCUGGUUCCCUCUGAAGUUUCCCUCAGGAUAGCUUGCACUCGGUUGAGACGAGUCUCAUCCGGUAGAGCGAAUGAUUAGAGGCAUUGGGGUCGAAACGACCUCAACCUAUUCUCAAACUCCAAAUAGAUGAGAUCCCCGGCUUUCUUAAAAGUGAAGCCGUGGGGCUAUGAUCAGAGUGCCAAGUGGGCCAAUUUUGGUAAGCAGAACUGGCGCUGUGGGAUGAACCAAACGCAGAGUUAAGGCGCCUAAAUUGACGCUCAUGUGAAACCAUGAAAGGCGUUGGUUGCUUAAGACAGCAGGACGGUGGCCAUGGAAGUUGGAAUCCGCUAAGGAGUGUGUAACAACUCACCUGCCGAAGCAACUAGCCCUGAAAAUGGAUGGCGCUGUAGCGUCAUGCCUAUACUCUGCCGUCAAUGACAAAGGUGGUUAAUAAGUUGUAUAUUAAUUAUCAUGGUAGACUAUUUUCUGGCUGCUGUGUUAUUAAUAUUAUAGCUUAUUUCAUACUGCCAUUAUGUUUUGAUGAGUAAGAGGGUCGCGGCGAUGAGCGCAGAAGGGUUUGGGCGAGAGCCCGCCUGGAGCCGUCGCUGGUGCAGAUCUUGGUGGUAGUAGCAAAUACUCCAGCGAGGCCCUGGAGGACUGAUGUGGAGAAGGGUUUCUUGUGAACAGCUGUUGCACAAGAGUCAGUCGAUCCUAAGCCCUAGGAGAAAUCCGAAGCGAUAGGCUGCCAUUAAAUAAAGAAGUGUUCACAAGAAAAUGGAUCAGUCGUCCCUAUCUACUAUCUAGCGAAACCACGGCCAAGGGAACGGGCUUGGAAAAAUCAGCGGGGAAAGAAGACCCUGUUGAGCUUGACUCUAGUCUGGUACUGUAAGGAGACAUGAGAGGUGUAGCAUAAGUGGGAGGUGGUUUUUUUAACUGCCGACAAUGAAAUACCACUACUUUCAUAGUUUCCUUACUUACUCGGUUAGGCGGAGGGCGUCUGUCGGGGUGAUACCACCUCGGCAUGACGGUAUUCUCGCGCCAAACGCUAAGGGUUGUCGGUAGUCAAUCGUACGCCUUGCCGCGUGUGAGAUGUUGAAGUUCCAAUUUUGGAAUUGAUGCAUUUCAUUACGUUUGCGCACAGGUGGAUUCGGUUGUACU